GAUGAACGCUCGCGGCAGGCUUAACACAUGCAAGUCGAGGGGCAGCGCGGGAUAGCAAUAUCCUGGCGGCGACCGGCGGAAGGGUGCGUAACGCGUGAGCGACAUGCCCGUUGCCCGGGGACAACCGGUGGAAACGCCGACUAAUCCCCGAUGGGAUAUUGUGCCGCAUGGCACGAUAUUGAAAGUUACGGCGGCGACGGAUUGGCUCGCGUCCGAUUAGCUGGUUGGCGGGGUAACGGCCCACCAAGGCUGCGAUCGGUAGGGGUUCUGAGAGGAAGGCCCCCCACAAUGGGACUGAGACACGGCCCAUACUCCUACGGGAGGCAGCAGUGAGGAAUAUUGGUCAAUGGGCGGAAGCCUGAACCAGCCAUGCCGCGUGCGGGAAGGAGGCCCUAUGGGCUGUGAACCGCUUUUGCCUGGGGGAAAUAAGGGCGUCGCGCACGUCCGAUGAGAGUACCAGGCGAAUAAGCAUCGGCUAACUCCGUG
RNAcentral lists this ribosomal RNA (486 nucleotides) under uncultured bacterium. RNAcentral describes it as "partial 16S ribosomal RNA". It matches the Rfam family "Bacterial small subunit ribosomal RNA", at positions 28 to 507 of the family's 1533-position model. The record is from RNAcentral.